GAUUAACGCUGGCGGCGUGCAUAACACAUGCAAUUCGAACGAUGAAACUUUAAUGAACCCUUCGGGGAGAAUUAAAGCGGAUUAGUGGCGAACGGGUGAGUAACGCGUGAGUAACCUGCCUUACACAAGGGGAUAGCCUUUGGAAACGAAGAAUAAUACCCUAUAAAACCAUAAAAGCACAUGCAAUUAUGGUCAAAGUAUUAGCGGUGUAAGAUGGACUUGCGUCUGAUUAGCUAGUUGGUGAGAUAAAAGCCCACCAAGGCAACGAUCAGUAGCCGGCUUGAGAGAGUGUACGGCCACAUUGGGACUGAGACACGGCCCAGACUCCUACGGGAGGCAGCAGUGGGGAAUUUUGCACAAUGGGGGAAACCCUGAUGCAGCGACGCCGCGUGAUUUAGAAGGCCUUCGGGUUGUAAAAAUCUUUUGUAUAGGAAGAAAAUGACAGUACUAUACGAAUAAGGUCCGGCUAAUUACGUGCCAGCAGCCGCGGUAAUACGUAAGGACCGAGCGUUGUCCGGAAUCAUUGGGCGUAAAGGGCUCGUAGGUGGUUUGUCGCGUCGUCUGUGAAAUUCCGGGGCUUAACUCCGGGCGUGCAGGCGAUACGGGCAUAACUUGAGUACUGUAGGGGUAACUGGAAUUCCUGGUGUAGCGGUGAAAUGCGCAGAUAUCAGGAGGAAUACCGGUGGCGAAGGCGACUUUCUGGCCAUUUUCUGACGCUGAGGUACGAAAGCGUGGGUAGCAAACAGGAUUAGAUACCCUGGUAGUCCACGCCGUAAACGAUGAGUGUUAGGUGUCUGGAGUCAAAUCUGGGUGCCGCAGCAAACGCAUUAAACACUCCGCCUGGGGAGUACGCACGCAAGUGUGAAACUCAAAGGAAUUGACGGGGACCCGCACAAGCAGCGGAGCAUGUGGUUUAAUUCGACGCAACGCGAAGAACCUUACCAAGUCUUGACAUAUUUUAGAAGCAAUUAGAGAUAAUUGCCUAUAUCUUCGGAUAACUAAAAUACAGGUGGUGCAUGGUUGUCGUCAGCUCGUGUCGUGAGAUGUUGGGUUAAGUCCCAUAACGAGCGCAACCCCUAUUGCUAGUUACCAUCAUUAAGUUGGGGACUCUAGUAAUACUGCCGGUGACAAACCGGAGGAAGGUGGGGAUGACGUCAAAUCAUCAUGCCCUUUAUGACUUGGGCUACACACGUGCUACAAUGGCAGGUACACAGGGAAGCAAGACUGUGAAGUUAAGCAAAACUCAAAAAGCCUGUCCCAGUUCGGAUUGCACUCUGCAACUCGAGUGCAUGAAGUUGGAGUUGCUAGUAAUCGCAGAUCAGAAUGCUGCGGUGAAUGCGUUCCCGGGUCU
RNAcentral lists this ribosomal RNA (1351 nucleotides) under uncultured bacterium. RNAcentral's name for it is "bacterial SSU rRNA". It matches the Rfam family "Bacterial small subunit ribosomal RNA", at positions 28 to 1381 of the family's 1533-position model. The record is from RNAcentral.